GGUUCGGUGGCUUAGUUGGUGAAGCACUCGCCUAACAUACAAGAGUCGUGGGUUCGAUUCCCACCUGAGCAC
This is a non-coding RNA of Aedes aegypti (yellow fever mosquito), 72 nucleotides long. The record is from Rfam. NCBI's taxonomy places the organism in Eukaryota, Metazoa, Arthropoda, Insecta, Diptera, Culicidae.